This 68-nucleotide transfer RNA is filed under the name Passer ammodendri. RNAcentral's name for it is "tRNA-Phe". The record is from RNAcentral. Lineage: Eukaryota; Metazoa; Chordata; Aves; Passeriformes; Passeridae.
GUCCUGUAGCCUUAUAAAAAGCAUGACACUGAAGAUGUCAAGAUGGCUGCUACACGCACCCAAGGACA